This 271-nucleotide long non-coding RNA is filed under the name Nicotiana tabacum (common tobacco). Its description in RNAcentral is "long non-coding RNA (NTAB_LNC004181)". The record is from RNAcentral. Lineage: Eukaryota; Viridiplantae; Streptophyta; Magnoliopsida; Solanales; Solanaceae.
GGCUCCGGGAGCUUCUCCGGCAGCUACACCAAAGGCAUCACCAGUUGCACCAGUAGCAUCACCUCCAACUGCUGUUGUUACACCUGUAUCCGCUCCAUCACAAUCUCCUACUACUGCCGCAUCUCCUUCUGAAUCUCCAUUGGCAUCUCCACCAGCUCCACCAACUGCUGACACUCCAGCAUUUGCUCCCUCCGGCGGCGUUGCUCUUCCUCCAUCCAUCGGCGCUGCUCCCGCCGGUUCUCCAACCUCGUCUCCUAACGUUGCCUCCUUG